Molecule: long non-coding RNA, 309 nt
Organism: Macrosteles quadrilineatus (aster leafhopper)
Lineage: Eukaryota; Metazoa; Arthropoda; Insecta; Hemiptera; Cicadellidae
Exons: 3
Source: RefSeq, a predicted model, not a curated record
UAAAUUAUUUGUUUGCAUUUCUGUGAUAAAGCUGCUGUAAAGUUAUUAGUUUAGAACCAGCCACGAAGCUCCUACAGAGAAUGGCAACUUUGAUGAAAUUGUUUCUUCUGUUGUUAGUUAGCAUGAUGUUACUUUCUUCAACGACUGAAGCAUUUGCCUGUUGUUGCGGAUAUAGAUAUGCACCUUGUGGGACAAUUUGCCAAGACUUUCCCAAACAGUUAGGAAAUCCCUAUCCCCACCCUUGUGACUUGUUUAUCCCGCGUUAUAAAAAAUAAAAAUCACGUAAGAAUUAUGUUCAAUAAAAACUGU